Molecule: ribosomal RNA, 197 nt
Filed under: uncultured bacterium
Lineage: Bacteria
Description: partial 16S ribosomal RNA
Rfam family: Bacterial small subunit ribosomal RNA
Source: RNAcentral
ACUCCUACGGGAGGCAGCAGUGGGGAAUUUUGGACAAUGGGCGAAAGCCUGAUCCAGCAAUGCCGCGUGCAGGAUGAAGGCCUUCGGGUUGUAAACUGCUUUUGUACGGAACGAAACGGCUCUCUCUAAUACAGGGGGCUAAUGACGGUACCGUAAGAAUAAGCACCGGCUAACUACGUGCCAGCAGCCGCGGUAAU